AUAGGAGCUAUGGAAGUAAUAAUAGGAGAAGUGGGUACCUCGAUAGGAGCAUUUGGAGUAGGCUCAGCAACUGAAUGAAUAUACGGAGGUACCUCUGGAUCAACUGUGAUACGAGUAGAGGUAGGAACUGCCGAUGCAGAUUCUGACUCAGUCACAACUGCGGUAGUAGUAGUGGGAAGCACAGAAGGCACUGCUGAAACUGGAACCCACUGCUUCUUUGGCUCCACAAACGUCACCUUGCCCUUAUCCUUAUCAGUCCUAGUAAUAGGGGGCCGAACAGGGGGGUGCGCAACAACUGCAGGAGGAGGAGGAGGAACCGUAGUACACUGAUCAUAAGAAUGACCCAAGUGUUUACAAGAGAAGCAAAAAAUUGGCCGCUUCUCAUAGAUAACUGUCUGCCAGAAGCCACGGUUACCAGCGCGCUCAAUCCAAACCCUGUCGGGCAACUUAUGCCCCAAAUUCACCUCAAUGCACACCCUUGCCUCACUAGGUCGUCUCAAGUCGGUGGUGG
RNAcentral lists this long non-coding RNA (511 nucleotides) under Olea europaea subsp. europaea. Lineage: Eukaryota; Viridiplantae; Streptophyta; Magnoliopsida; Lamiales; Oleaceae. The record is from RNAcentral.